CAAUAGCGUAUAUUAAAGUUGUUGCGGUUAAAAAGCUCGUAGUUGGAUUUCUGUUGGGAACGACCGGUCCGCCCAUUGGGUGUGUAUCUGGCUUGUUCUCGGCAUCUUCUUGGUGAACGUUGCUGCACUUGACUGUGUGGAGCGCUACCCAGGACUUUUACUUUGAGGAAAUUAGAGUGUUUCAAGCAGGCAUAUGCCUUGAAUACAUUAGCAUGGAAUAAUAAGAUAGGACUUUGGUACUAUUUUGUUGGUUUGCGCACCAAAGUAAUGAUUAAUAGGGACAGUUGGGGGUAUUCGUAUUCCGUUGUCAGAGGUGAAAUUCUUGGAUUUACGGAAGACGAACUACUGCGAAAGCAUUUACCAAGGAUGUUUUCAUUAA
RNAcentral lists this ribosomal RNA (379 nucleotides) under uncultured eukaryote. RNAcentral's name for it is "partial 18S ribosomal RNA". It matches the Rfam family "Eukaryotic small subunit ribosomal RNA", at positions 592 to 976 of the family's 1831-position model. The record is from RNAcentral.